Molecule: RNA transcript, 1591 nt
Organism: Carlito syrichta (Philippine tarsier)
Lineage: Eukaryota; Metazoa; Chordata; Mammalia; Primates; Tarsiidae
Gene name: trifunctional enzyme subunit beta, mitochondrial pseudogene
Exons: 1
Source: RefSeq, a predicted model, not a curated record
AUGACUACCAUCUUGACUUACUCUUUUAAAAAAUCUUCCCAGUACAUCAAAAUGGUCCCUCAGAUUUUCUUUAAGACCUCUGAGCUGUUCCUCCCAGCUAAGAGCUGCCCCAGCUGUCCAGACCAAAUCAAAGAAGACCUUAGCCAAACCCAAUAUAAGGAAUAUCGUGGUGGUGGAUGGUGUUUGCACUCCAUUUUUGCUGUCAGGUACUUCAUACAAAGACCUGAUGCCACAUGACUUGGCUGGAGCAGCACUUACAGGUUUGUUACAUGGGACCAAUGUUCCAAAGGAAGUUGUUGAUUAUAUCAUCUUUGGAAUAUGAUUAUAUAUCAUAUUCAGGAGGUAAAAACAAGCAACGUGGCUAGAGAGGCUGCCCUUGGAGCUGCCUUCUCUGACAAGACUCCUGCUCACACUGUCACCAUGGCUUGCAUCUCUGCCAACCAAGCCAUGACCACAGGUGUUGGCUUGCUUAGUUCUGGCCAGUGUAAUGUGAUUGUGGCAGGUGGUGUCGAAUUAAUGUCCGAUGUUCCUGUUGGUCAUUCAAGGAAAAUGAGGAAAAUGAGGAAAAUGAUGCUUGACCUCAACAAGGCCAAGACUCUGGGCCAGCGACUAUCUUUACUCUCUAAAUUCAGAUUGAAUUUUCUAUCACCUGAGCUUCCUGUGGUGGCUGAGUUUUCCACCAGCGAGACGAUGGGCCACUCUGCAGACCGAUUGGCCACUGCCUUUGCUGUUUCUCGACUGGAACAGGAUGAAUAUGCACUGCGCUCUCACAGUCUGGCCAAGAAGGCACAGGAUGAAGGACUCCUUUCUGAUGUUGUACCCUUCAGUGUACCAGGAAAAGAUACAAUUACUAAAGAUAAUGGCAUCCGUCCUUCUUCACUGGAGCAGAUGGUCAAACUAAAACCUGCAUUCAUCAAGCCCUAUGGCACAGUGACAGCUGCAAACUCUUCUUUCUUGACUGAUGGUGCAUCUGCAAUGGUGAUUAUGGCAGAGGAAAAAGCUCUGGCCAUGGGUUAUAAGCCAAAGGCAUAUCUGAGGGACUUCAUGGAUGUGUCUCAGGAUCCAAAAGAUCAACUAUUACUUGGACCAACAUAUGCUACUCCAAAAGUCCUAGAAAAGGCAGGAUUAACCAUGAAUGAUAUUGAUGCUUUUGAAUUUCACAAAACUUUCUCAGGUCAGAUUUUGGCUAAUUUUAAAGCCAUGGAUUCUGAUUGGUUUGCGCAAAACCACAUGGGUAGAAAAACCAAGGUUAGAGUGCCUCCCUUGGAGAAAUUCAAUAACUGGGGUGGAUCACUGUCCCUUGGACACCCGUUUGGAGCCACUGGCUGCCAGCUGGUCAUGGUAGCUGCCAACAGAUUACGGAAGGAAGGAGGCCAGUAUGGCUUAGUGGCUGCCUGUGCAGUUGGAGGACAGGGCCAUGCUAUGAUAGUGGAAGCUUAUCCAAAAUAAUUGCUCCAGAAGAGGUGACCUGAAGUUUUUGUGCAACACUCACACUAGGCAAUGCCAUUUCAAUGCAUUACUAAAUGACAACUAUCGUUCCCAGCUCCUCUUAGGAAAACAAUACUUGUGGCCUUCUGUUAAAUACUUUGCA